AUGAGGACUUCAUUGAUGGUCCUGGCCUCUCUCCUCCUCCUCCUGGUUCUGGUUACAACAGCACAUGGGAUUCGGCUGGACAGGCACCUGCAUGAAGCACUGGACAACAAGCAGGAACGACUGGCCGGGCAGCUAACCAAACCCAAUGGCGCCGCUGAUUCGGCAGGCAGCAAGCCCUGCACGGCCGAUGGGAAUUGCUCAGGAAAGGCGAAAAAGCCACCGUCGCCGCACGCUCACGCCGAAACGGACGACGACGCAUCAGCGAAGCAUCAGAUACCCCCGAAGAGGAACGACGGCAACGCGCAGGUGACCAGCCACGGUGGCGAUCAGGAGGAGCCGACGCUGCCGCAGAAGAAGAAAUGGUCCCGCCGGGCGCUUCCGCGGCGGCCAAAGCAGCAGGAGACGAGGACGUACCCGGACCUGAUCGACAUCGCCGGGAUGGACUACUCGCCGGCCGCCAGAAAGCCCCCCAUCCACAACUGA
Molecule: ribosomal RNA, 483 nt
Filed under: Triticum aestivum (bread wheat)
Lineage: Eukaryota; Viridiplantae; Streptophyta; Magnoliopsida; Poales; Poaceae
Description: partial small subunit ribosomal RNA
Source: RNAcentral